AAGCGUUAUCCGGAAUUAUUGGGCGUAAAGCGUCCGCAGGCGGCCCUUCAAGUCUGCUGUUAAAAAGUGGAGCUUAACUCCAUCAUGGCAGUGGAAACUGUUGGGCUUGAGUGUGGUAGGGGCAGAGGGAAUUCCCGGUGUAGCGGUGAAAUGCGUAGAUAUCGGGAAGAACACCAGUGGCGAAGGCGCUCUGCUGGGCCAUCACUGACGCUCAUGGACGAAAGCCAGGGGAGCGAAAGGGAUUAGAUACCCCUGUAGUCCUGGCCGUAAACGAUGAACACUAGGUGUCGGGGGAAUCGACCCCCUCGGUGUCGUAGCCAACGCGUUAAGUGUUCCGCCUGGGGAGUACGCACGCAAGUGUGAAACUCAAAGGAAUUGACGGGGGCCCGCACAAGCGGUGGAGUAUGUGGUUUAAUUCGAUGCAACGCGAAGAACCUUACCUACUCUUGACAUACUAGAAACUUUUCAGAGAUGAAUUGGUGCCUUCGGGAAUCUAGAUACAGGUGCUGCAUGGCU
This 516-nucleotide ribosomal RNA is filed under the name uncultured Prochlorococcus sp. RNAcentral describes it as "bacterial SSU rRNA". It matches the Rfam family "Bacterial small subunit ribosomal RNA", at positions 536 to 1050 of the family's 1533-position model. Lineage: Bacteria; Bacillati; Cyanobacteriota; Cyanophyceae; Synechococcales; Prochlorococcaceae. The record is from RNAcentral.